GAGAGAAACAUCAAAGUGUGGGCCAUGCCAUAAGACAUUCAAAUAGGCAUGCAGCUUACAGCAUGUGUGGCUUGCCCACCCAUGGAUAAAGGCAUGCCAGACAUCCCAACAGCUAGGUGAGUAUUUUUCCAUCUGCACAAAUAACAUGAACCUACCUGGCCU
Molecule: long non-coding RNA, 162 nt
Organism: Phyllostomus discolor (pale spear-nosed bat)
Lineage: Eukaryota; Metazoa; Chordata; Mammalia; Chiroptera; Phyllostomidae
Exons: 3
Source: RefSeq, a predicted model, not a curated record